RNAcentral lists this small RNA (260 nucleotides) under uncultured Thiohalocapsa sp. RNAcentral describes it as "5' ureB small RNA". It matches the Rfam family "5' ureB small RNA". Lineage: Bacteria; Pseudomonadati; Pseudomonadota; Gammaproteobacteria; Chromatiales; Chromatiaceae. The record is from RNAcentral.
AUGAAGUGGAUGUGGGCGUCGAUGCCGCCGGCGGUGACGAUCAUGCCCUCGCCGGCGAUGGCCUCGGUGCCGGGGCCCACCAGGAUGUCCACGCCCGCUUGCGUGUCCGGGUUACCGGCCUUGCCGAUGCCGGCGAUGCGCCCGUUCUUGAUGCCGAUGUCCGCCUUGACGAUGCCCCAGUGAUCCAGGAUCAGGGCAUUGGUGAUAAUGGUGUCCACCACCUCGUCCGCCUGGCGCUGGCACUGCCCCAUGCCGUCGCG